UAUUGGUCAAUGGGCGGAAGCCUGAACCAGCCAAGUCGCGUGAGGGAUUAAGGCCCUGCGGUUCGUAAACCUCUUUUGCCGGGGAUCAGCGUUCCGGACGUGUCCGGGCCGGGAGAGUACCCGGAGAAAAAGCAUCGGCUAACUCCGUGCCAGCAGCCGCGGUCAUACGGAGGAUGCGAGCGUUAUCCGGAUUUAUUGGGUUUAAAGGGUGCGUAGGCGGGCAUUUAAGCCGGCGGUCAAAUGUCGGGGCUCAACCCCGGCCUGCCGUCGGAACUGGGUGCCUUGAGUGGGCGAGAAGUAUGCGGAAUGCGUGGUGUAGCGGUGAAAUGCAUAGAUAUCACGCAGAACUCCGAUUGCGAAGGCAGCAUACCGGCGCCCAACUGACGCUGAAGCACGAAAGCGUGGUUAUUG
RNAcentral lists this ribosomal RNA (411 nucleotides) under uncultured bacterium. Its description in RNAcentral is "bacterial SSU rRNA". It matches the Rfam family "Bacterial small subunit ribosomal RNA", at positions 362 to 770 of the family's 1533-position model. The record is from RNAcentral.